This 484-nucleotide ribosomal RNA is filed under the name uncultured bacterium. Its description in RNAcentral is "partial 16S ribosomal RNA". It matches the Rfam family "Bacterial small subunit ribosomal RNA", at positions 30 to 507 of the family's 1533-position model. The record is from RNAcentral.
AUUGAACGCUGGCGGCAGGCCUAACACAUGCAAGUCGAGCGGAUGAAGGGAGCUUGCUCCUGGAUUCAGCGGCGGACGGGUGAGUAAUGCCUAGGAAUCUGCCUGGUAGUGGGGGAUAACGUCCGGAAACGGGCGCUAAUACCGCAUACGUCCUGAGGUAGAAAGGGGGGGAUCUUCGGACCUCACGCUAUCAGAUGAGCCUAGGUCGGAUUAGCUAGUUGGUUGGGUAAAGGCCUACCAAGGCGACGAUCCGUAACUGGUCUGAGAGGAUGAUCAGUCGCACUGGAACUGAGACACGGUCCAGACUCCUACGGGAGGCAGCAGUGGGGAAUAUUGGACAAUGGGCGAAAGCCUGAUCCAGCCAUGCCGCGUGUGUGAAGAAGGUCUUCGGAUUGUAAAGCACUUUAAGUUGGGAGGAAGGGCAGUAAGUUAAUACCUUGCUGUUUUGACGUUACCAACAGAAUAAGCACCGGCUAACUUCGUG